AUAUAUCUGCUGACCCAGUUUUCUUGCCGGCAAUGUAAUAACAUUAGUUGGUUUGCUAUCUAUUUAUAUCUUUCUUACAUAUGCCUGAAUAUACUUAGUGGGCGAGUUGGCGGGGUCGGCGACCGAACCCACUAGAAAUUUCUUUUAGUUCUCACACCACUAAUCUUACAGAUCCUAGUGUGAGCGGGGCGACGGAGGAUCGAGGCAAGGGUAUUACGCCAUAGAUAACAGCGACCAGAGUUGUAGUCAUACCCUAUGUACAUUCAACUUUUGUUAUGUUGAAUAGUGAUGUAUAAAUGAUGUAAUAAUUCAUAUGUUUUGGUUGGAUGUAUCACGUGAUGUAAAAGAAUAUAAUAUAAGUAGAUAACUUGUAUUUGGUUUAAUUGUAAUCAAAUGACAUGUGUGGAUGUAUGUAGUAGCAUAGAUGCUUUCACUACUUGUUGUUGCUUGCCCUCGAGUAAGCCGUGUAUACUUGCAUUCUCCUUGUAUGAAUUGCUAUUGUUAUACAUGUGUUGAUGGAGCCUUGGGCAGACAGGGGAGGUGCUGUCCGUUCGACGUCUGUUGACGGACCCAAACCGACCAAAUUGGCGGUCGCGGGCGUGACAACAACUUACUCUAAGUUGUCAUGUUAGCAGUAGAACUAAUCCUAAUUUACAAACUUC
This 662-nucleotide long non-coding RNA is filed under the name Ananas comosus (pineapple). RNAcentral describes it as "long non-coding RNA (ACOM_LNC005848)". Lineage: Eukaryota; Viridiplantae; Streptophyta; Magnoliopsida; Poales; Bromeliaceae. The record is from RNAcentral.